RNAcentral lists this ribosomal RNA (500 nucleotides) under Chrysolina lepida. RNAcentral's name for it is "partial 12S small subunit ribosomal RNA". Lineage: Eukaryota; Metazoa; Arthropoda; Insecta; Coleoptera; Chrysomelidae. The record is from RNAcentral.
AAUUAAUAUAAUUUAAUUUAAUUAGUAUUAAUUAAUUUAUAAUAAAUAAUUUUAAAUUAAAAUUUAUUAGGUGGAAUUUUUAAAUUUUAAAAAAAUUUGUUAUUUUUAAUGAAGUUAGGAAAUUUUAGUAAUAAACUAGGUUAGAUACCCUAUUAUUUAAAAUGUAUUUUUUAUACUAAAUUAGUAUUAGCUAUGUUCUUGAAAAUUAAAAAUUUUGGCGGUAUUUUAGUCUAUUCAGAGGAACCUGUCCUAUAAUUGAUAAUCCACGAUUUAAUUUACUUUUUUUAUUAGUUUGUAUAUCGUCGUAAUUUGAAUAUUUUAUAAGAAUAAUAAUAUUCAAAAUUUUUUAUAUAAAAGUAAAUCAGAUCAAGGUGCAGCUUAUAAGAAAGAAGAGAUGGGUUACAAUAAAUUUAUUUUAGAAUUAUUAUUUAUAAAAUAAUAUGAAUUUGGAUUUGAAAGUAAAUUUAAUUAAUUAAUUAGAUUGAUUUUAACUCUAAAAU